This is a non-coding RNA of Sesamum indicum (sesame), 2788 nucleotides long. The record is from RefSeq and is a predicted model, not a curated record. NCBI's taxonomy places the organism in Eukaryota, Viridiplantae, Streptophyta, Magnoliopsida, Lamiales, Pedaliaceae.
GUGUCCAUAUUAGCAGCAGUGAUGCUUUCUAAGAAAUGCCGGAAACAAAUGGUGGUGGCCUGUGCACGUGGUUAUUUGCAGAAGCUCGUCGGGUGGGGUGGCGCAAGUUUAUGGGGACUCUUUCUCAGGCCUUAAGUUGAGCAACAACAGAAGAGGCUAUCAAAAAAUUGAUGUUAGCAAAUCUAACACAAAAGUGCUGAGUAUACAAUGAAGCUGAUGAGAGCAAUCCAGGAGAGUGUGGUUGUUAGGACUAACGGAGAGUGAAUAUCCAGAUUUCAGCAUUGAAGAGAAGUUAAAUGCUUUUGUUGCGUUGAUUGAUCUACUCAGAGUUGGUUCCUGUAUCAAAAUGGAGGGCUAAAGAUACAACCCAGAAUCAGAGUCGGCCGUCGAAUUUCUUGCCAAAACACUGCCAACGGGGUGUGGUGACGUUACGCUCCAAAGGCUGCAAUGCGAAACACGGAAAAGAGGCAUGUUCUAUGUGCCGUGUCUUCCACUUGACGUUUUAGUUCCAACUCUAACCAUCAAAGUGGAAACAAGAAGCAUCAGAUGAAUAUCACAAGGGCAAUGAGUAAUGUCAGACAAACCAAAAUCAUUAUAUGAGAUCUCUGCUACUGUAAGUCUGUAUAUAAUUUUCCAAAAUUAUAUCUGCGACAUUGGCGAGGAGGAGGCUCCGGCAAAAGUUCUAUCAGCGCUCAUGAAAUUUGCUGGAAAUUGGAGGAUUUUCUGGAAAGAAGAAAAGUGAACAGUUUCUGCAGUUAAACUUGAGUAUACAAUGAAGCUGAUGAGAGCAAUCCAGGAGAGUGUGGUUGUUAGGACUAACGGAGAGUGAAUAUCCAGAUUUCAGCAUUGAAGAGAAGUUAAAUACUUUUGUUGCGUUGAUUGAUCUACUCAGAGUUGGUUCCAGUAUCAAAAUGGAGGGCUAAAGAUACAACCCAGAUUCAGAGUCGGCUCUUGAAUUUCUUGCCAAAACACUCCAACGGGCUGUGGUGACAUUAGGCUCAAAAGGCUGCAACGCGAAACACGGAAAAGAGGCAUGUUCUGUGUGCCGUGUCUUCCACUUGACGUUUUAGUGCCAACUCUAACCAUCAAAGCGGAAACAAGAAGCAUCAGAUGAACAUCACAAGGGCAAUGAGUAAUGUCAGACAAACCAAAAUCAUCAUAUGAGAUCUCUGCUACUGUAUAUAAUUUUCCAAAAUUCUGUCUGCGACAUUGACGAGGAGGAGGCUCCGGCGAAAGGUCUAUGAGCGCUCAUGAAAUAUGCUGGAAAUUGGAGAAUUUUCUGCAAGGAAGAAAAGGGAACAGUUUCUGCAGUUAAACUCUUGCAUCCAUUUGCGCAAAACCUGGAUAAGUAUUUGGUGUCCAUAUUAGCAGCAGUCAUGCCUUCUAAGAAAUGCCGGAAACAAAUGGUGGUGGCCUGUGCACGUGGUUAUUUGCAGAAGCUCGUCGGGUGGGCUGGCGCAAGUUAAUGGGGACUCUUUCUCAGGCCUUAAGUUGAGCAACAACAGAAGAGGCUAUCAAAAAAUUUAUGUUAGCAAAUCUAACACAAAAGUGCUGAGUAUACAAUGAAGCUGAUGAGAGCAAUCCAGGAGAGUGUGGUUGUUAGGACUAACUAACGGAGAGUGAAUAUCCAGAUUUCAGUAUUAAAGAGAAGUUAAAUGCUUUUGUUGCGUUGAUUGAUCUAAUCAGAGUUGGUUCCAGUAUCAAAAUGGAGGCUAAAGAUACAACCCAGAUUCAGAGGCGGCCCUUGAAUUUCUUGCCAAAACACUGCCAACGGGCUGUGGUGACAUUAGGCUCCAAAGGCUGCAACGCGAAACACGGAAAAGAGGCAUGUUCUAUGUGCCGUGUCUUCCACUUGACGUUUUAGUUCCAACUGUAACCAUCAAAGUGGAAACAAGAAGCAUCAGAUGAACAUCAUAAGGGCAAUGAGUAAUGUCAGACAAACCAAAAUCAUUAUAUGAGAUCUCUGCUACUGUAUAUAAUUUUCCAAAAUUCUAUCUGCGACUUUGACGAGGCGGAGGCUCCGGAAAAAGUUCUAUCAGCGCUCAUGAAAUAUGCUGGAAAUUGGAGAAUUUUCUGGAAGGAAGAAAAGGGAACAGUUUCUGCAGUUAAACUCUUGCAUCCAUUUGUGCAAAACCUGGAUAAGUAUUUGGUGUCCAUAUUAGCAGCAGUCAUGCCCUCUAAGAAAUGCCGGAAACAAAUGGUGGUGGCCUGUGCACGUGGUUAUUUGCAGAAGCUCGUCGGGUGGGCUUUUAUGGGGACUCUUUCUCAGGCCUUAAGUUGAGCAACAACAGAAGAGUCUAUCAAAAAAUUGAUGUUAGCAAAUCUAACACAAAAAUGCUGAGUAUACAAUGAAGUUGAUGAGAGCAAUCCAGGAGGGUGUGGUUCUUAGGACUAAUGGAGAGUGAAUAUCCAGAUUUCAGCAUUGAAGAGAAGUUAAAUGCUUUUGUUGCGUUGAUUGAUCUACUCAGAGUUGGUUCCAGUAUCAAAAUGGAGGGCUAAAGAUACAACCCAGAUUCAGAGUCGGCCGUCGAAUUUCUUGCCAAAACACUGCCAACGGGGUGUGGUGACGUUACGCUCCAAAGGCUGCAACGCGAAACACGGAAAAGACGCAUGUUCUAUGUGCCGUGUCUUCCACUUGACGUUUUAGUUCCAACUCUAACCAUCAAAGUGGAAACAAGAAGCAUCAGAUGAAUAUCACAAGGGCAAUGAGUAAUGUCAGACAAACCAAAAUCAUUAUAUGAGAUCUUUGCUACUGUAUAUAAUUUUCCAAAAUUCUGUCUGCGACAUU